Molecule: long non-coding RNA, 945 nt
Filed under: Hordeum vulgare
Lineage: Eukaryota; Viridiplantae; Streptophyta; Magnoliopsida; Poales; Poaceae
Description: long non-coding RNA (HVUL_LNC012301)
Source: RNAcentral
GUAUUCAAUGUUCAUAUCUUUGGCCUACGUUUAGAACAUGUAUCCGUGGAUAUCAUAUACCUCAUAGGUCGUGAGGUUGACCGCCAGGUCAUGUGCUAAGGCGUAUAUCAAAUUUCCUUAUGGACAACCCUCUUUUGAGGGAUUAGCGGCAACUUUCUCUUUGAACCAACGCAAGAAAGUGGAGUUGUGCUCUCUAAUAACUUCAACGUCCGUCCUGUGCAGCCCACGAUAACGGUAGUUAUUUGUGAUGGUCUCUUUGCGCAGUUCCAAGAAAGGAUCUACCACGUUUAUGUGUUGUAGCACUACUAAGUUAUCUAUGUCAAAGUCGUCCUACCGGCCCGAGCGGUACACAUUCAAUUCCCUCCGACCAUUGAUGCGACCUUAUCCUUUCAUCCUUCCACAGUGCUUGUUGACGGGCAAACAUACAACAGGUUGUCCGACACCUAGAUAAUUCUCAUAGAAGGAGAUGCACUCUUGGGUGAGAUAGCGUUGCGCGAUGCUUCCAUCCGGAUGGGACAUGUUACGAACGAGUCCUUUGAUGACCCCAUUCAUCAUCUCAAACGACAUCAUGCUGUGUAGGAAUAUUGGCCCUAGGUCUAUGAUGGCGUCCACGAUGUGGACACACACAUGCACCAUGACGUCAAAGAACGUGGGUGGAAACUACGUCUCCAACUCGUUUAGUAUGACAAUGAUCUCUUCUUGUAGCCUUUUUAGUUGCAUCACACAGAUCGACUUUCUAGAGAUAGUGUCGAAAAAGUGGCAUAGAUCAACCAGCGUAUCACAUACGUGUGUGUUCAAAAACCCUCUAAGUGCAACCGGGAGUAACUGCAUCAUCAUCACGUGAUAGUCAAGAGACUUCAUCCCACUAAACCUUUUUUCUCGGUGUCUAGAUAUCUGCUUAUCUUUCCAUAGUAUCCGGAACUAACUUUGAUUCUAGCAAGGCAC